GGCUUUGAAAGUCAUGGGUUUUAUGAAUUGUUUUUUAAUGCAUGCCUACUUUAAAGUGUUAAUAGCUUGCAUGUGUAUUCAAAUGUUCAUACUUGUUCUUAGCUAGGACAAAUUUUUUCCUUCAAGCCUACCACGGUGGAAGGCCACGAAAGAGUGUGCAAAGCACUCUCACGCUUAUCAACUUAAUAAUGGUUUGGUUGAGGGUUUUAGGUCUCAUCACAUAUAAGCAUGCAUUUUAAUCUUAUUAAAACGAUUUGGUCCUAUUACAACUAUUGGUCCAUGUGAUUGAUUUAGUU
Molecule: long non-coding RNA, 296 nt
Filed under: Malus domestica (apple)
Lineage: Eukaryota; Viridiplantae; Streptophyta; Magnoliopsida; Rosales; Rosaceae
Description: long non-coding RNA (MDOM_LNC016801)
Source: RNAcentral